UGAAGCCCUCCAGUGUAUGAGAGAGGCCAGGCAGGGGCAGACAUGUUCUUCAGUUAAGGGAGCAGCUGUAAGAGGACACACUGCUGAGGGACACUUCUGUCAAUAAGACGUGAAAGUGCUACCUGCAUGAGUAGAAGCACGUCCACUUUGGGCUGAUCCAGGAAAACGUUGCUACUGUGAUCUUGAAUCAGAAUGGAAACUAUCCGUGAAAACAACUGUGGGACAAUCUGUCUGAAGUAUCUGCUCAUUGUGUUCAACAUUCUUUUUUGGCUAGCUGGGGGUGCAUUGGUGGCCGUGGGUGUGUGGACUGUGGUGGAGAAGAGCGACUACAUCAGUCUCCUUGACUCUGGCUUCUACUCAAAAUCUGCUUACAUCCUGAUCGCUGCCGGGGUCAUUGUGUUUGUGACUGGCAUCAUCGGAUGCUGCGCGACCCUGAUGGAGAAUAAGAGUCUUUUGAUUGUGUAUUUGGUCCUGUUACUCUGCGUGUUCCUGCUGGAACUCAUUGCAGCAGUCAUGGCUUAUAUUACCUACCAAGAGUGUUUCCCUUUCUGCCAUCAGCUGGAUGAUGCGCUGAGACAGAACCUGGAGGUGACCCUGCUGCAGAAAUACCAACAACCAGGAGAAGACGGGGUCACGCGUACUGUGGACAAGCUCCAUCAGGAGUUCCAGUGCUGCGGGAGUAACAGUUCCUCUGACUGGAGAUACAGCACUUGGAUCCAGGCUGCACAGGACGAGGAGCUCGUUCCUGUCAGCUGCUGUAAGACUCCCAGCAGCCUCUGUGGCCGCAGGGACCAUCCAUCCAAUAUCUACAAGUGUUGUUACUCUUCCUGUACUGCCAGGGAGGCUGUAUUGGGAAGUUAGAGGACUUCCUUCUGUAUCAGCUCUACAUUCUGAGUGGAUUGGGCAUUGGGAUUGCAAUUUUGCAGCUUCUUGGAAUGAUGUUUACUUGCUGCCUUUACCAGAAGCUGGAAGAUGAACCACACUGAUUUUGGAAGUUUUUAAAGUGUUAACAUGUGGUUUGAGACUUAAGUUAUUCUUCAAUCCUGUUGGACUUUUAAGUCAAUAAAAUAUGCAUACAUAAGAUUCUGUUAUGCUGCUGGGCAGCACUUCACCAUGCAAAACAUGAUUUUUCUCAUUUCAUGUUAAAGAUGCUAUCAAAGUAGGUAAAUACUAUCUUGGUGUGGUGAUACUGUAUGUUUAAAAUGCUGUCCCUUUUGUGGUAUUUUUUUAAAACUAUAUACAAUACAGUAUACACAAUGUG
RNA transcript from Nerophis ophidion (straightnose pipefish), 1261 nucleotides. It is a transcript of the gene named CD151 molecule, with no coding region annotated. The record is from RefSeq and is a predicted model, not a curated record. The transcript is spliced from 9 exons. Lineage: Eukaryota; Metazoa; Chordata; Actinopteri; Syngnathiformes; Syngnathidae.